Long non-coding RNA from Helianthus annuus (common sunflower), 921 nucleotides. RefSeq lists it as uncharacterized. The transcript has 10 exons. Lineage: Eukaryota; Viridiplantae; Streptophyta; Magnoliopsida; Asterales; Asteraceae. The record is from RefSeq and is a predicted model, not a curated record.
UCGGAUCAUAUAAAACCUAUGUGAAUUGUCAUAACAAUCAUAGAUACCUACCACAACUUUACUCUUUUCUCUCUUCUCUUUCUUCUAGAAUCGUCAUCUUCUCACCGGAUUUUCAACAUUGAAUCAAGAUCAAAGAUCCGCCUAUAUAUCUUGAAGAUCCGACCAUAAAUCUUGAAGUUAAUGAUUUUGGUUGUUGUAUUUUUUUCAUGUGAUUCCUUACAUCCGUUAUAACAAUCUGAAUCCCACCAUUCGUCAAGCAACAGAGAUCCGACCAUAAAUCUUGAAGUUAAUGAUUUUGGUUGUUGUAUUUUUUCAUGUGAUUCCUUACAUCCGUUAUAACAAUCUGAAUCCCACCAUUCGUCAAGCAACAGAGUUAUAGAUAUUUAUUUCUGAACCGAGUCUGUCCUCCAUAGUUUUUUCUGAUUUUUCUAUUUGAAAUUGAGGUUUUGUUUUGAUCAAAGUUGGGUUAUGCAGGUAAAUGGGGUUAUCUACAAAUUUUGAUGGUACACGGCUUUUCAUUAUUGACAAUUUUGAUCAGAUGCUGACAUUUAAGGAAAAAAUCUUAAUACCAUGUUGGGUCGAAGAUGCUGGAGAAUGAACUGAAGCGUAAUUUGGAUGCCGUUUAUGAUGUGGAUUUAUGUUCUUCUCAGUCUUCCACUAAACCGCCUAAGGGUGAUUGUGAGAACAAUGAAGGUUUGAAUGUGAAGGUGGGUCUUUUGAAUCCAAAGCUGGAAAAGUAGUCUCAGAAUCUAAUAGUCAUCUCAGUUUCUUCAAACAGUUUUCAAUGUUUUUUUCGUUCAAUCGUAUUCAGAACAUUUAUGUCAGUACUUGAUGUUGCUUUUUACUCAAUGUUUGUUGCGGUUUAUCUUGAUUUUCGUUUAUUAUUGUUAUAUCAAUAAGAGAUGAUAUUAUUAAUUAGCA